Molecule: unclassified non-coding RNA, 291 nt
Filed under: fungal sp.
Lineage: Eukaryota; Fungi
Description: partial internal transcribed spacer region
Rfam family: Eukaryotic small subunit ribosomal RNA (bases 1-46)
Source: RNAcentral
AAGUCGUAACAAGGUAACCGUAGGUGAACCUGCGGUUGGAUCAUUACUAAAUUACUUUGACCUGAGGUUGAGUUCAAAAUUCUUUUGAAAUCCCUCAGUGUCAUAAACAUUUUGUGCAUCUAUUGUGUAUUUGGGUUAUUUCUUUUUUUCUAUUUGGAAAAAACAUUAGUUUUUGAAAAAUUUUGAAAGGAUUUAACCCAACAAUGAAUAUAAACCAUUAUUCUUUUUUUUUUGACUGAAAUAAAUUGAAAAAUUUAUAAACAACUUUUGACAACGGAUCUCUUGGCUCUC